UACGGAGGGUGCAAGCGUUAAUCGGAAUUAUUGGGCGUAAAGGGCGUGUAGGCUGGAAUGUAAGUCGGAUGUGAAAUCCCGGAGCUCAACUUCGGAAUAGCAUUCGGUACUGUGUUUCUUGAGGGUAGACGGAGAAAAUGGAAUUCCACAAGUAGCGGUGAAAUGCGUAGAUAUGUGGAAGAACACCUGUGGCGAAAGCGAUUUUCUAGUUUAUACCUGACGCUGAGGCGCGAAGGCAAGGGGAGCAAACAGG
This 253-nucleotide ribosomal RNA is filed under the name uncultured bacterium. RNAcentral's name for it is "partial 16S ribosomal RNA". It matches the Rfam family "Bacterial small subunit ribosomal RNA", at positions 524 to 776 of the family's 1533-position model. The record is from RNAcentral.